GGAGAGGUGACCGAGCGGCCGAAGGUGCACGACUGGAAAUCGUGUGUACCCGAAAGGGUACCGAGAGUUCAAAUCUCUCCCUCUCCG
This 87-nucleotide transfer RNA is filed under the name Megalodesulfovibrio gigas DSM 1382 = ATCC 19364. RNAcentral's name for it is "Desulfovibrio gigas DSM 1382 = ATCC 19364 tRNA". It matches the Rfam family "tRNA". From Rfam's summary of the family: Transfer RNA (tRNA) molecules are approximately 80 nucleotides in length. Lineage: Bacteria; Pseudomonadati; Thermodesulfobacteriota; Desulfovibrionia; Desulfovibrionales; Desulfovibrionaceae. The record is from Rfam by way of RNAcentral.